GGACGGCUAGCUCAGUUGGUUAGAGCGCCACGUUGACAUCGUGGAGGUCACAGGUUCAAAUCCUGUGCCGUCCACCG
RNAcentral lists this transfer RNA (77 nucleotides) under Candidatus Falkowbacteria bacterium CG_4_10_14_0_2_um_filter_48_10. RNAcentral's name for it is "tRNA-Val". It matches the Rfam family "tRNA". From Rfam's summary of the family: Transfer RNA (tRNA) molecules are approximately 80 nucleotides in length. Lineage: Bacteria; Candidatus Falkowiibacteriota. RNAcentral also lists the same sequence under 1 other name. The record is from RNAcentral.